Molecule: ribosomal RNA, 253 nt
Filed under: uncultured bacterium
Lineage: Bacteria
Description: partial 16S ribosomal RNA
Rfam family: Bacterial small subunit ribosomal RNA
Source: RNAcentral
UACAGAGGUCCCGAGCGUUGUUCGGAUUUAUUGGGCGUAAAGGGUGCGUAGGCGGCGGAGUAAGUUGGGUGUGAAAUCCCGGGGCUUAACCUCGGAAUGGCAUUCAAUACUGCUUCGCUCGAGUACUGGAGAGGAGGCUGGAAUUUACGGUGUAGCAGUGAAAUGCGUAGAUAUCGUAAGGAAGGCCGGUGGCGAAAGCGAGCCUCUGGACAGUUACUGACGCUGACGCACGAAGGCCAGGGGAGCAAACGGG